RNAcentral lists this ribosomal RNA (207 nucleotides) under uncultured bacterium. Its description in RNAcentral is "partial 16S ribosomal RNA". It matches the Rfam family "Bacterial small subunit ribosomal RNA", at positions 568 to 774 of the family's 1533-position model. The record is from RNAcentral.
UGCGUAGGUGGCCUUUUAAGUUGGAUGUGAAAUACCCGGGCUUAACUUGGGGGGUGCAUCUAAUACUGGAGGGCUAGAGUGCAGGAGAGGGAAGCGGAAUUCCUAGUGUAGCGGUGAAAUGCGUAGAUAUUAGGAGGAACACCAGUGGCGAAGGCGGCUUUCUGGACUGUAACUGACACUGAGGCACGAAAGCGUGGGGAGCAAACA